GUCUACGGCCAUACCACCCUGAACGCGCCCGAUCUCGUCUGAUCUCGGAAGCUAAGCAGGGUCAGACCUGGUUAGUACUUGGAUGGAUUAAAAAGAAAAAAGUCAAUAUGGUUUGUUGUAGAAU
RNAcentral lists this ribosomal RNA (124 nucleotides) under Mustela putorius furo (domestic ferret). The record is from RNAcentral. Lineage: Eukaryota; Metazoa; Chordata; Mammalia; Carnivora; Mustelidae.